Molecule: non-coding RNA, 75 nt
Submitted as: unclassified sequences
Source: Rfam
CCUAUGAAGAGUACAAAAAAAUGUGAGUAGUGGUUGAAUUUAUUUGACACAAAAACAUACUCAACGAAGUAGGAA